This is a long non-coding RNA of Physeter macrocephalus (sperm whale), 647 nucleotides long. RefSeq lists it as uncharacterized. The record is from RefSeq and is a predicted model, not a curated record. The transcript is spliced from 4 exons. Lineage: Eukaryota; Metazoa; Chordata; Mammalia; Artiodactyla; Physeteridae.
GGGGUGGGAGUGUCUCUUAGACCCAUGUAUGGCUGCGAGAGCACAGAAACUGCCCCUCACCUGGGAAGCAUGAAAGCCCAGCACCACCUGGUGAAGUCCUGAUCCUCCUUCAAGAACCAAAGGACCCCUUUCAUGUCCAACAGAGCCUUACCUGCUACAGUGUUGAUCUCUCCUGCCUCUGUCUUCCACACACUUCAUUCAUCCCUCCAAGAAACAGCUGCUGCUCCAGUAAACCAGCUCCUGACCUCUGGCUUCCUAGUGAACCAUUCCUCUGCCUGAUUGGGAAAGCUCCUAGUAACAAAGAACCAAAUGCCUCUGAAAUCCAACAAGAUCCCUUUCCUCCUAUUGAACUAGAAGUAUAGGCAAGUUUGGACUUUCUCAGAAACAUCUUGCCCUAAACAUCCUUCAAGUCGUUCUGUGGCAACAGAUCCCUCUUGGUGAUGAGGAACUGAAUGUUUCUCCUUAAAUUUGGGGAGAAGAGAAAAAUGUUUACUCUUGUCAUUUCUAUUCAACUUUGUACUGGAGGUCCUAGCCAGUUUAAUAAGGGAAGACAAAUAAAUAAGAGCAUACAGUUGAAAAUGAAGAAGAAGAAAAUUUGCUUGUAUUGUAGACAACACAAUCAUCUAUAUAGAUAAUCACAAAGAAUC